Long non-coding RNA from Xiphophorus maculatus (southern platyfish), 966 nucleotides. RefSeq lists it as uncharacterized. The transcript is spliced from 3 exons. NCBI's taxonomy places the organism in Eukaryota, Metazoa, Chordata, Actinopteri, Cyprinodontiformes, Poeciliidae. The record is from RefSeq and is a predicted model, not a curated record.
CCGCAUUUGCUGCGGUUGUGACGUCAGCGCGGCAGGUGCAAAGAGCCCAUUGCUGAAUCUUGUUUCUCUCUCCAGGACAGUUUUUGGAGGAACCUGCAGAGAAAAGGAUUGCAGUCAGCACCCAGCCCAACAGCGCUAACAACAGCAGCAACGCUAACGUCCAUCUCACCUACACUUGUUCUGGUUCUGAUCCAAACAGCUCCCUCAUGCUGCCUGAGGCUUUGCUGUUAAACUGCUGACAGAUACGACUGCAGUGGAGUAAAAUGUUGCAGUUACGUUUUAUUUAACGUCCAGUCCAGCCAAAAUAAAGCUGUUCUAAGAAGCCGUGCUUAUCGCAGCCCCUCAGGGCGCCUGUGUUAAUCCCCGGGAAAAGAUGACAUCAAAUGGAAGCAGAGCAAAGGAUUAUGGGGGAUGUUGAGGUGCUUGAUCAGCUGCUGCUGAGAACUGGAUGGAGGGGAAGGAAUCUUCUCCAGGUACGAACAAACAAACCUGAAAAUAGUAGGAAAAGGGAGAAAAACAGAGUCUGGUUCAGAAGAAGGAAGAUGCUUCGCCUCCAAAUCGCCACUUUAACUUUAGUCAGAACAGGUUAAAGUUUCCUACCAAACGACACCAGUUUUCCUUUACUUACUUAAAUAAUGGAUACUUUAUUUAUCCCCAAAAGAAAUGAAAUGUAGGAAUAUCUUCAAAGAAUCACUUUGCAUGGUGAUGGAAGGGAGCAGAUUGUGUUGCAGCUCAUUUGAAGAGGCUUCUGACUGAAGACAGUUGCUGUGUGACAGUCUCAUGACUGUUGAUGCUCCACAGUAACAUCCACCACAGCUGGAAAGUUUCCCUCUUUUUCGUUCCAAUUUUAGAAAUGUGCCUUUAAACUUUACUGGAUUUUAGUUCUGGUUCUGACUGGGUCAGUCCAGAAGUCAACCUGUUGUUAUCUUGGUUUCAUGCUUCACAACAUCUUUGGGGAAGUGUUUU